Molecule: ribosomal RNA, 250 nt
Filed under: uncultured bacterium
Lineage: Bacteria
Description: partial 16S ribosomal RNA
Rfam family: Bacterial small subunit ribosomal RNA
Source: RNAcentral
UACGUAGGGCGCAAGCGUUAAUCGGAAUUACUGGGCGUAAAGCGUGCGCAGGCGGUUAUGCAAGACGGAGGUGAAAUCCCCGGGCUCAACCUGGGAACUGCCUUUGUGACUGCAUAGCUAGAGUACGGUAGAGGGGGAUGGAAUUCCGCGUGUAGCAGUGAAGUGCGUAGAUAUGCGGAGGAACACCGAUGGCGAAGGCAAUCCCCUGGACCUGUACUGACGCUCAUGCACGAAAGCGUGGGGAGCAAAC